Sapajus apella (tufted capuchin) is the source of this 456-nucleotide long non-coding RNA. RefSeq lists it as uncharacterized. NCBI's taxonomy places the organism in Eukaryota, Metazoa, Chordata, Mammalia, Primates, Cebidae. The transcript has 3 exons. The record is from RefSeq and is a predicted model, not a curated record.
AGCCCUGACCCUGAAGCUCUGGAAGAGGAGCCCAGUCCUGGGAUUUUCAGGUGUUUGCAUUUGGUGAUCACAACUGAACACAGAGACUGAACUCACCAUGGAGCUUGUGCUGAGCUUGGUUUUACCUGUUGUUAUUUUGAAAGGUGUCCAGUGUGAGGUGCGGCUGGUGGAGUCUGGGGGAGGCUUGGUUCAGCCUGGGGGGUCUCUGAGACUCUCCUGCGCAGCCUCUGGAUUCAACUUCAGUAGCUAUAGCAUGCACUGGGUUCGUCAGGCUCCAGGGAAGUGACUGGAGUGGGUCUCAACUAUUGGUACUGCUGGUAGCACAUACUGUGCAGACUCCGUGAAGGGCCGAUUCACCAUCUCCAGAGAUAACGCCAAGAACUCACUGUUUCUGCAAAUGAACAGCCUGAGAGCCGAGGACAUGGCCGUGUAUUACUGUAAGAGAGAGACCUAGGG